GCUGAGUUUGCGCUGUGUGCUGUUUAUUCGGUGAGGAAUGUUUCUCAGUCUCUCUCACGUUUAUCUCCUGUGCAGUCUCUAUGAGAAGUGAUGAGAGCGAGAGUUAUGUGGUGUCUAACGGCUUCAGCUCUGCCUUACUGCCUUGCUCACCUGACGCUGGGAGGGAAAACAAAUCCGCUAAAUGGUAUUGGUACUCCAUCUCAGGGAAGGAAGAACUAAACUUGUGUGAGAUAACUGAAGACAGCUCUGCGUGUGACGACACUCAUGAUAAGGACAUAUCAGUGGCUGAUUCCAACGCUUUCCAGUCAGGGGAUCUCUCCCUGUUACUCACACCCACAAUGAGUCUGGCUGGCGAGUAACAGUGCAUUGUUUAUAAAAAAAGAAGAAAAAAUUGCGUAUACAUGCAUCGUCCAUCUGAUAGUGUUUCACCUGUCUGUGUCUACUGAGAUCUCUCUGACCGCAGGUGGACGGCUGGCUCUCACAUGUCAAAUCUCACACCCUGGUUAUUUUAACACCAAACCCACAUUUCAUGGAGACGGCACAAUUAGUUCGGAUGAAAUUGAGGUACAGUGGACACAUGAUGGCAAUCUGAUUUUCGCUGACAGUCGUCACUCUCUGGAUUUUAGAAGCUUAAACAUCAGCAAACUUGAACUCAAAGAUUCUGGAUCAUAUCGUUAUACUUUCAAGAUAAAAGGUCUCACCCAUUCCUUCCAGGAAAUUUACGUGACGGUUCGAUCAGCUAUGCCAACCAUACACUCAACUUCAAAGGAGACGAGCAAAGGAACAAGAGCUAUCUCAACCAUACUCCCAACUUCAAAGGAGAUGAGCAAUGGCACAAGUGGUAAGAUAUUAAGAACAACAUUAUUUAACGAAUUGAGUUGCACGACGCAGAUGGAUGGAGAUUUCGAUUUGUCAGCGGAAUGAUUGAGUUUCUAGAUGUAGGUGGACAGAGAAUAGUGGAAAUCAGUGUGUGGAUUGAAGUGCAAGAGGGAAAUGGAUAGAGACUUGAGGGACAGGGGGUGGAUUCAUGGUCAAGAGGUAGAUAGAUUGAGACUUCGGAGAGCAUUGAAUGUAUUGAGCUGUUAAGGAGUGUUAAACAGAAACUCUUGGAAGUCAAGGGAUGGCAUGGCAUGUGAGAUGGAGAUGGACAAAGAUUUGCGGAAGUCAGUAGAUGGAUGAGGUGACAGGGAUAAGGAUAGAUAUGUGGGGGAUCAGGUGAUAGACUGUGGUGUGAGAGGAUGAUGGAUAGAGAAUUGAAGUGUUAGGGGAUCCAUUGAGGUGGGGGAGACUGCAGA
Callorhinchus milii (elephant shark) is the source of this 1295-nucleotide long non-coding RNA. RefSeq lists it as uncharacterized. The record is from RefSeq and is a predicted model, not a curated record. The transcript has 4 exons. Lineage: Eukaryota; Metazoa; Chordata; Chondrichthyes; Chimaeriformes; Callorhinchidae.